UAUAUCUAAUUUCUAACAGCGCUCGCCAGCACCGCCACAAUCGUGUGCCAGGUCGGGCCGUGGCACGGUGCCCGGGCACUGGCCCGCGUGCGCUUCCUGGGCCGCCAUGCCCCUCUGGUGCAUACCACUCCCACCCCCGCCCUCUAGACACCUCUGGAUAUAUGCAUAGUAGUUGCCAGCAUCACAACGUGGCAAAGCAGCCCGCACACGGACGUCGCCAAGGCGGCACCCAGCCCGGAGGCGCGUGCAAGGCCACGCGCUGCGCCC
This 267-nucleotide long non-coding RNA is filed under the name Chlamydomonas reinhardtii. RNAcentral describes it as "long non-coding RNA (CREI_LNC000766)". Lineage: Eukaryota; Viridiplantae; Chlorophyta; Chlorophyceae; Chlamydomonadales; Chlamydomonadaceae. The record is from RNAcentral.